UGGGGAAUAUUGCACAAUGGACGGAAGUCUGAUGCAGCGACGCCGCGUGGGGGAUGAAGGCUUUCGGGUUGUAAACUCCUUUCAGUACAGAAGAAGCUUUAUUGUGACGGUAUGUGCAGAAGAAGCGCAGGCUAACUACGUGCCAGCAGCCGCGGUAAUACGUAGGGCGCGAGCGUUGUCCGGAAUUAUUGGGCGUAAAGAGCUCGUAGGCGGUUUGUCGCGUCUGCUGUGAAAGACCGGGGCUUAACUCCGGGGCUGCAGUGGGUACGGGCAGGCUGGAGUGCGGUAGGGGUAACCGGAAUUCCUGGUGUAGCGGUGGAAUGCGCAGAUAUCAGGAGGAACACCGAUGGCGAAGGCAGGUUACUGGGCCGUUACUGACGCUGAGGAGCGAAAGCAUGGGGAGCGAACAGG
Molecule: ribosomal RNA, 411 nt
Filed under: Verrucomicrobiota bacterium
Lineage: Bacteria; Pseudomonadati; Verrucomicrobiota
Description: Verrucomicrobia bacterium partial 16S ribosomal RNA
Rfam family: Bacterial small subunit ribosomal RNA
Source: RNAcentral